UUUUGCAUUGGGGUUGUUUUUAAUGAUCCCAUUACCAACCGCGUGCAACAGGUGUGUUUUACCGAGACCGGUUCCACCAUA
This 81-nucleotide antisense RNA is filed under the name Shewanella oneidensis MR-1. Its description in RNAcentral is "antisense RNA of dnaA mRNA". It matches the Rfam family "antisense RNA of dnaA mRNA". Lineage: Bacteria; Pseudomonadati; Pseudomonadota; Gammaproteobacteria; Alteromonadales; Shewanellaceae. The record is from Rfam by way of RNAcentral.